GGUCGGUUAGCUCAGUUGGUUAGAGCGUUGCAUUGACAUUGCAAAGGCCGCAGGUUCGAGUCCUGCACCGACCA
This 74-nucleotide transfer RNA is filed under the name Candidatus Woesebacteria bacterium. RNAcentral describes it as "tRNA-Val". It matches the Rfam family "tRNA". Rfam says of the family: Transfer RNA (tRNA) molecules are approximately 80 nucleotides in length. Their secondary structure includes four short double-helical elements and three loops (D, anti-codon, and T loops). Further hydrogen bonds mediate the characteristic L-shaped molecular structure. tRNAs have two regions of fundamental functional importance: the anti-codon, which is responsible for specific mRNA codon recognition, and the 3' end, to which the tRNAs corresponding amino acid is attached (by aminoacyl-tRNA synthetases). tRNAs cope with the degeneracy of the genetic code in two manners: having more than one tRNA (with a specific anti-codon) for a particular amino acid; and 'wobble' base-pairing, i.e. permitting non-standard base-pairing at the 3rd anti-codon position. Lineage: Bacteria; Candidatus Woeseibacteriota. The record is from RNAcentral.